Ananas comosus (pineapple) is the source of this 1855-nucleotide long non-coding RNA. RefSeq lists it as uncharacterized. The record is from RefSeq and is a predicted model, not a curated record. NCBI's taxonomy places the organism in Eukaryota, Viridiplantae, Streptophyta, Magnoliopsida, Poales, Bromeliaceae. The transcript is spliced from 3 exons.
CCUACGCCACCCUCCUCUCUCUGUCUUCCCUGCGCCUCGCCCGAAGCGCCCCCUAUGCCCUACCCUCUCUCUCUCUCUUCCCCGCGCCGCCCUCUCUCUACCCUUUCCUCUCGCAGCACCUUUCGAUUUCUCUCUCUAUAUACGCCUCUCUCUACCUUACCUGAAGCAACUCUCUCUCUAUCUCCUCUCUACUGCCCCUCUCUCUCUCGCUCUUCCCUCCUCCGGUGUAUCCAUGCGUGAUCUCGCGGAUUGCUCUCUGUUGAGCGAUCCUAUCUGCGGGAUUCUCUCACAUCGCGGAAUAGAUCUGCUCGGUUUCCCCGCUUCCGAUCCAACAGUGGUACUUUACUUUACCCUAAUUAUGGCUACUGAGGUAAUUUACCCCUACCCCUAACCCUUCGUUGCCUUCGUUGCCGCCCUAAUCUGAUAUGAUGGUGUGAUGGCGCGCCUUCGCCGCCGCCUUAAUCUGAUGUUUGUAUGAUGGCGAGGCUAUGUUGUGCAGCAAGUGGUUUACUGUUUCAAAUCGAUUAUACUUGCUGGUUUCUCUUCUCUUCCAACUAUCAUGUCUGCUAGAUCUCCCCCAAUUUACAAGAUCUCCGAAAUCUCAAUAAAAAAAACUAAAAAAAACUGAUGCGUGUGUGAUGGCGAGGCUAUGUUGUGCAGCAAGUGGUUUACUGUUUCAAAUCGAUUAUACUUGCUGGUUUCUCUUCUCUUCCAACUAGCAUGUCUGCUAGAUCUCCCCCAAUUUGCAAGAUCUCCGAAAUCUCAAUAAAAAAAAAUGAUGCUGCUGGAUUUUCUAAUGUAAUGAUGUCUAGAUGUGAUCUACAGGAUCUUUCUUAGAUUGCCAGAUCUUUGCAAUUAAUUGAGGGCUUCUCUUAGCUCUAUUGCCUUCUCCAUGGUCUCCAUGCUCCUGUAUUUGUUGUAUGCAGGAGGCAUUAUAAAUAGUGCCAACUGUUCCACAGUACGGCAUUAAAUCUGUGCCUGCUCUUUUGUGCCCCGAAUAACUUAUUGCAUGUUUUCUCCCACGCCUUGCAUGUGAUGUUUUUUUUGAGCUAAACUUGAUAAAUGUGGAAUAAGGAGCUGAAUGUAGGUGCUGAAAUAUGCUGAAACUAUUUUGGACGGGCUGCUCCUAACGCAGCGACCUCGGCAGGGACAUAGCACCUUAGCCUUGGAGUUUUCUUUUUAUAUUUUUGGAACAGUACCUUUCAGGUGGUACCUCCUGAUCUGCUCUUGACUGAUUGUCAUGGCACCUGAGCCUUCAAGUUUUUCUUUUAUAUUUUUUACCCCUAGACUUCAGGUGGUAACUCCUGAACUGCUCUCCACUGUUUCUUUGCUUACUUUCUUAUGCCUUGAGUCUAUAUUUUGCACGACUGCAUAUGUGUUUCUUUAGGGUGGGAUCAACCCAUAAUUCUUUCCUGCAGCAACUUACCUAAGAACUUACUGUCUUUUUUUUUACUUUAAACUGUUCCAAAAUAAUAUUCUCCCUUCCUCUUUUCUUUAUGUAGUGAAUGUGUUGAAGCAAGAAUUGUCGGCUGCAAUAUUUCCUGCUCGGCUCUGUGCUUUCAUGACUGCUUAGUUCUGUCCUUCCAUGAACUAAGAUGAACUAAGGUGCCAAAACUUCACCACAAAAUUAUUCAGAUUGCUUUCAUUUCUUUAGCCAGUUAAUGUGUUGGGAAUCAAUUCUUUACUUCAAUGCACUAAGGUUUCUUGAGCCUACACAGGAAGAUGCAGAAGAUGCAGAGAAGAAUGAAGAUUAAGAGAAGAAGGAAGAUACAGAGAAGAAUGAAGAUUAAGAGAAGAAUUGAUAAAUCAUUUACCACUGCCACUGCUUCACAUUUAUAAUUGUUUACUUAUUUUA